Molecule: ribosomal RNA, 450 nt
Filed under: uncultured Chloroflexota bacterium
Lineage: Bacteria; Bacillati; Chloroflexota
Description: bacterial SSU rRNA
Rfam family: Bacterial small subunit ribosomal RNA
Source: RNAcentral
CACAAGCAGCGGAGCGUGUGGUUUAAUUCGAUGCAACGCGAAGAACCUUACCAGGGUUUGACAUGCUUAAAGUAGAAACUCGAAAGAGGGACGACCUGUAUCCAGUCAGGAAUUUGCACAGGUGCUGCAUGGCUGUCGUCAGCUCGUGCCGUGAGGUGUUAGGUUAAGUCCUGCAACGAGCGCAACCCUCGUCGCUAGUUACUUUUCUCUAGCGAUACUGCCCGUAUAACGUGGAGGAAGGUGGGAUGACGUCAAGUCAGCACGGCCCUUAUGUUCUGGGCUACACACGUGCUACAAUGGCCGGUACAGACGGACGCAAAGCCGCGAGGCGGAGCAAAUCCGAAAAAGCCGGUCUCAGUUCGGAUUGCAGGCUGCAAUUCGCCUGCAUGAAGUCGGAAUCGCUAGUAAUCGCAGGUCAGCAUACUGCGGUCGAAUACGUUCCCGGGCCUU